GCCGGGCACGGUGGCUCACGCCUGUAAUUCCAGCAGCUUGGGAGGCCGAGGCAGGAGGAUGGCGAGUUCAAAGCCAGCCUCAGCCAAAGGGAGGCCCUAAGCAGCUCAGGGAGACCCUGUCUCUA
RNAcentral lists this small RNA (125 nucleotides) under Marmota monax (woodchuck). Lineage: Eukaryota; Metazoa; Chordata; Mammalia; Rodentia; Sciuridae. The record is from RNAcentral.